This 253-nucleotide ribosomal RNA is filed under the name uncultured bacterium. RNAcentral describes it as "partial 16S ribosomal RNA". It matches the Rfam family "Bacterial small subunit ribosomal RNA", at positions 524 to 776 of the family's 1533-position model. The record is from RNAcentral.
UACGAAGGGGGCUAGCGUUGCUCGGAAUCACUGGGCGUAAAGGGUGCGUAGGCGGGUCUUUAAGUCAGGGGUGAAAUCCUGGAGCUCAACUCCAGAACCGCCUUUGAUACUGAAGAUCUUGAGUUCGGGAGAGGUGAGUGGAACUGCGAGUGUAGAGGUGAAAUUCGUAGAUAUUCGCAAGAACACCAGUGGCGAAGGCGGCUCACUGGCCCGAUACUGACGCUGAGGCACGAAAGCGUGGGGAGCAAACAGG